Molecule: non-coding RNA, 946 nt
Organism: Picea glauca (white spruce)
Lineage: Eukaryota; Viridiplantae; Streptophyta; Pinopsida; Pinales; Pinaceae
Source: Rfam
CUCAUGGAGAGUUUGAUCCUGGCUUAGGAUGAACGCUGGUGGCAUGCUUAACACAUGCAAGUCGGAUGGGAAGUGGUGUUUCCAGUGGUGGAUGGGUGAGUAAUGCGUAAGAACCUGCCCUUGGGAGGGGAACAACAACUGGAAAUGGCUGCUAAUACCCCAUAGGCUUAGGAGAAAAAGGAGGAAUCCUCCCAAGGAGGGGCUCGCGUCUGAUUAGUUUGUUGGUGAGGCAAUGGCUUACCAAGGUGACGAUCAGUAGCUAGUCUGAGAGGAUGAUCAGCCACACUGGGACUGAGACACGGCCUAGACUCCUACGGGAGGUAGCAGUGGGGAAUUUUCCACAAUGGGCAAAAGCCUGACGGAGCAAUGCCACGUGAAGGCAGAAGGCCCAGGGGUCAUGAACUUAUUUUCUCGGAGAAGAAACAAUGAUGGUAUCUGAGGAAUAAGCAUCGGCUAACUCUAUUCCAGCAGCCGCGGUAACACAGAGGAUGCAAGCGUUAUCUAGAAUGAUUGGGCGUAAAGCGUCUGUAGGUGGAUUUUCAAGUCCGCCGUCAAAUCCUAGGGCUCAACCCUGGACAGGCGGUGGAAACUACCAAGAUGGAGUACGGUAGGGGCAGAGGGAAUUUCCGGUGGAGUGGUGAAAUGCGUUGAGAUCGGAAAGAACACCAACGGCGAAAGCACUCUGCUGGGCCGACACUAACACUGAGAGAUGAAAUCUAGGGGAGAAAAUGGGAUUAGAUACCCCAGUAGUCCUAGCCGUAAAUGAUGGAUACUAAGUGUUGUGCGUAUCGACCCACACAGUGUUGUAGCUAACACGUUAAGUAUCCUGCCUGCGGAGUACGUUCGUAAGAAUGAAACUCAAAGGAAUUGACGGGGGCCCGCACAAGCGGUGGAGCAUGUGGUUCAAUUCGAUGCAAAGCGAAGAACCUUACCAGGGCUUGACAUG